GGUGGUCUCACACAUCAAGAUCCGCCCAGUCUCACAGCAGAGCUGAGAGGUCAGCAGAGCCACGACAUCUCAGCUGUGUUCCUGACCAAGCCUCUCCUCCAGCUGGUGAACUCCCAAGGUAAAGGCAGAUAUUGGAGACUCGAAAUGAAUGAGGAGGGAGUGGUAUACUCAGAACUGAAGCUGUCUCAUGGCCAAAAAGCGAGGCCAGGCAAAAGAGAUCCCACCAGCAAAAAGAGAAAAACUACGUGUAAAAUCAUAGUGGGGACAACAUGCUUUUUGUUCAUGCUGCUAAUUGCUGGUUUAGGAUACAUGU
Molecule: long non-coding RNA, 313 nt
Organism: Ochotona princeps (American pika)
Lineage: Eukaryota; Metazoa; Chordata; Mammalia; Lagomorpha; Ochotonidae
Exons: 3
Source: RefSeq, a predicted model, not a curated record